This 165-nucleotide ribosomal RNA is filed under the name uncultured bacterium. Its description in RNAcentral is "partial 16S rRNA". It matches the Rfam family "Bacterial small subunit ribosomal RNA", at positions 355 to 511 of the family's 1533-position model. The record is from RNAcentral.
UAGGGAAUCUUCGGCAAUGGACGAAAAGUCUGACCGAGCAACGCCGCGUGAGUGAAGAAGGUUUUCGGAUCGUAAAACUCUGUUGGUAGAGAAGAACGUUGGUGAGAGUGGAAAGCUCAUCAAGUGACGGUAACCACCAGAAAGGGACGGCUAACUACGUACCAG